Molecule: long non-coding RNA, 411 nt
Filed under: Olea europaea (common olive)
Lineage: Eukaryota; Viridiplantae; Streptophyta; Magnoliopsida; Lamiales; Oleaceae
Description: long non-coding RNA (OEUR_LNC009863)
Source: RNAcentral
UCAAAACAGUUGUAAUAAAAUUAAGACUGCAAAUAUGAGAGUUUGUGGGUUGUUUUUUCUUUGUUUCUAUAUUGUUUUAGUGGGUGCUGUUCUUGCUAGAAAUUUGGAAGAUGAAGAGAAAGAAGAGAAAUUUCUGUUCGGCAAGGGAGGUUGGUUUGGUCCCAAAUUUGGCCCAGGUCGUGGUUGGUUCCCGGGUGGCGGUUUUUUCCCUCCUGGUGGCGGUUUGUUCCCUCCUGGUGGCCUGCUCCCUGGUGGCGGUCUUGGCCCUCGUGCUGAUGGUUUGUUUCCUGGUGGACGUCAAUGAUUCUCUUGUGGCAGGAUUUAAAACAUCCAAGAAUCAGCAUAUGUAAAAUCAGCAUACAAAUAAUACAAAUAAUUUCAAACCGUUUAUUAUAAUUAUUUGUACCUGUG